Molecule: small nuclear RNA, 156 nt
Filed under: Dasypus novemcinctus (nine-banded armadillo)
Lineage: Eukaryota; Metazoa; Chordata; Mammalia; Cingulata; Dasypodidae
Description: U1 spliceosomal RNA (ENSDNOG00000026302.1)
Rfam family: U1 spliceosomal RNA
About the family: U1 is a small nuclear RNA (snRNA) component of the spliceosome (involved in pre-mRNA splicing).
Source: RNAcentral
AUACUUACCUGGCAGGUGAGAUACCAUGAUCACACGAUUCAGGGCAAGGCUUAUCCACUGCACUCCGGAUAUGCUGACCCCUGUGAUUUCCCCAAAUGUGGGAAACUCAACUGCACAGUUUGUGGUAGUGGGGAACUGCAUUCGUGCCUUCCCCUG